This 1037-nucleotide unclassified non-coding RNA is filed under the name Hevea brasiliensis (rubber tree). Lineage: Eukaryota; Viridiplantae; Streptophyta; Magnoliopsida; Malpighiales; Euphorbiaceae. The record is from RNAcentral.
GCCACACAUAUCAUUAUAAUGAAAACCUUUUAACAAAUAUUUCCAAAAGCACUUCUAAACUUACAUAUUUUCACAUGUUCUUAAGGAUCAUAACAACAUUCUCAUGUCCAAAUCAACAAACCAAAAGCAUUAAUUAACAAAUAAUAAAUACUCAAUAUAUAAUUUUUAGCAUUUCCAUCCCAAUUCAAGUAUCUUAAUUAUUGUCAACCCUUGCACUGAUUUUUCGCUGCCCUGCAGCACUAGUGAGAUUUCUCCUGGCAUUGUUAUUAGGGUUCAGAUUCAUAUACUGACCUGCAGGGUAACUGCUUAGUGUUUUACCCUGGAUUGAUCUUUCAUUUCUCCUGCUAAUGGCCACAGCAGGAGCUGAAGCUGAUGACCUUAGACUCCUGGCCCAAUCAAACUUCUUAGUAUGAAGCAUGCCCUGAAAAUUCUGAUCUGAUCUUGAACUUCUGGGCCUAGUUGGAGCUUCUUUCUUGGUCUCUUUUAUUUCAAUCUUGGUUCCUGCAUCCAAUUUUAUGCUUAUGCUGACUUCAGAGAGUAAUUUUUUCUUUGUUUCCUGCUGAAUAUUUUUGGCUGCACCAGAUUCUGAUAUUUCUCUUUUAUUCCUUUCUUUUUGGUUUUGAUAAAGUCUGUGCAAUCUCAGUGCAAGAUGGUAUAUUCCAUCUUUAAUUUCUUGCUCUAAAUCUCUUUCUAUAUCCAUCUCAAGCUCGCUGCGAAUCUUCAGCUCCUCAUUCGACAUGAUUGGAAGCAAAGUUCUCUCGUUUUGAUCAAUCUGUCACUGUCACCACCUUUAAUACAAGAACAUGAGAUAAACAAAUGAAAAAAGAAAGAAAUUACAAACCAGUGGAUGAGCCAAUGAAUUGCUAACAGGAUCAGAUAAAUCUAGUAUAUCUGUCCUCAUGUAUUCAGGUUGCUGGUCCUGGUUGAACUUUAUGCUUUUUAACUUGUCAUGUUGCACCAUUUUUUUUCUUUGUUUUAUAUCCUAGGUGGUGGAUUUGCACAUGUGGGGCUGGGGUGUAAUUCCAGUUGGAAUGAAG